GAGUGAACGCUGGCGGUAGGCCUAACACAUGCAAGUCGAACGGCAGCACAGUAAGAGCUUGCUCUUACGGGUGGCGAGUGGCGGACGGGUGAGGAAUACAUCGGAAUCUACUUUUUCGUGGGGGAUAACGUAGGGAAACUUACGCUAAUACCGCAUACGACCUACGGGUGAAAGCAGGGGAUCUUCGGACCUUGCGCGAUUGAAUGAGCCGAUGUCGGAUUAGCUAGUUGGCGGGGUAAAGGCCCACCAAGGCGACGAUCCGUAGCUAGUCUGAGAGGAUGAUCAGCCACACUGGAACUGAGACACGGUCCAGACUCCUACGGGAGGCAGCAGUGGGGAAUAUUGGACAAUGGGCGCAAGCCUGAUCCAGCCAUACCGCGUGGGUGAAGAAGGCCUUCGGGUUGUAAAGCCCUUUUGUUGGGAAAGAAAAGCAGCAGGUUAAUACCCCGCUGUUCUGACGGUACCCAAAGAAUAAGCACCGGCUAACUUCGUG
RNAcentral lists this ribosomal RNA (493 nucleotides) under uncultured bacterium. RNAcentral describes it as "partial 16S ribosomal RNA". It matches the Rfam family "Bacterial small subunit ribosomal RNA", at positions 27 to 507 of the family's 1533-position model. The record is from RNAcentral.